UGCGUAGGCGGGCUAAUAAGUCAGUCGUGAAAUCUUCCGGCUCAACCGGGAACCUGCCAUUGAUACUGUUAAUCUUGAGUUCGGUUGAGGUAGGCGGAAUGUGUAAUGUAGCGGUGAAAUGCUUAGAUAUUACACAGAACACCAAUUGCGUAGGCAGCUUACUAGACCGACACUGACGCUGAGGCACGAAAGCGUGGGGAGCGAACAGGAUUAGAUACCCUGGUAGUCC
This 229-nucleotide ribosomal RNA is filed under the name uncultured bacterium. Its description in RNAcentral is "partial 16S ribosomal RNA". It matches the Rfam family "Bacterial small subunit ribosomal RNA", at positions 568 to 796 of the family's 1533-position model. The record is from RNAcentral.